Molecule: long non-coding RNA, 414 nt
Organism: Ornithorhynchus anatinus (platypus)
Lineage: Eukaryota; Metazoa; Chordata; Mammalia; Monotremata; Ornithorhynchidae
Exons: 4
Source: RefSeq, a predicted model, not a curated record
GGCGGUUCCCCGGAGCGGAAGAGGCGGGCCCGGCCGUUCCCUUUUCUUUUCUGAGCGCUCGGAGGAGCGGGACGCGGGGCAUCAUGUCCGGCCGUGAGGGUGGUAAGAAGAAGCCUCUGAAACAGCCAAAGAAACAGUCGAAAGAAAUGGACGAAGAGGAUUUAGCUUUCAAGCAAAAGCAGAAAGAAGAGCAGAAGAAACUUGAAGAGAUGAAAGCUAAAGCUGCUGGGAAAGGACCUCUUGCCAGUGGUGGAAUCAAGAAGUCUGGCAAAAAGUGACCUGUUGAUUGUAAUGGAGAAAGCAGUUUUCCUUAGCAAGAAAGAAUGUGGUUGAAAUUUGAAGGCUCCUACAUGCAAAUGUUGUUUUAGGGCCCCAUGUACAUUCAAGAAUAAACUUUUUUUUUUUUAAGAUCAA